Molecule: ribosomal RNA, 425 nt
Filed under: uncultured cyanobacterium
Lineage: Bacteria; Bacillati; Cyanobacteriota
Description: bacterial SSU rRNA
Rfam family: Bacterial small subunit ribosomal RNA
Source: RNAcentral
GGGGAAUUUUCCGCAAUGGGCGAAAGCCUGACGGAGCAAUACCGCGUGAGGGAUGACGGCCUAUGGGUUGUAAACCUCUUUUUUCAGGGAGGAAACAAAUGACGUUACCUGAAGAAUAAGCAUCGGCUAACUCCGUGCCAGCAGCCGCGGUAAGACGGAGGAUGCAAGUGUUAUCCGGAAUCACUGGGCGUAAAGCGUCUGUAGGUGGUUGAAUAAGUCAACUGUUAAAUCUUGAGGCUCAACCUCAAAACCGCAGUCGAAACUAUUCGACUAGAGUAUAGUAGGGGUAAAGGGAAUUUCCAGUGGAGCGGUGAAAUGCGUAGAUAUUGGAAGGAACACCGAUGGCGAAGGCACUUUACUGGGCUAUUACUAACACUGAGAGACGAAAGCUAGGGUAGCAAAUGGGAUUAGAUACCCCAGUAGUC